This 225-nucleotide ribosomal RNA is filed under the name uncultured Paludibacter sp. RNAcentral's name for it is "partial 16S ribosomal RNA". It matches the Rfam family "Bacterial small subunit ribosomal RNA", at positions 568 to 792 of the family's 1533-position model. Lineage: Bacteria; Pseudomonadati; Bacteroidota; Bacteroidia; Bacteroidales; Paludibacteraceae. The record is from RNAcentral.
UGCGUAGGCGGACGUUUAAGUCAGUGGUGAAAGUUUGCAGCUCAACUGUAAAAUUGCCAUUGAAACUGAAUGUCUUGAGUGUAAAUGAGGUAGGCGGAAUGUGUUGUGUAGCGGUGAAAUGCUUAGAUAUAACACAGAACACCAAUUGCGAAGGCAGCUUACUGGGAUACAACUGACGCUGAGGCACGAAAGCGUGGGGAUCAAACAGGAUUAGAUACCCGCGUA